GACGUAGGAUGCGAGCGUUGUCCGGAUUCAUUGGGCGUAAAGAGCGCGCAGGCGGCUUGGUAAGUCGGAUGUGAAAACCCGAGGCUCAACCUCGGGCGUGCAUCCGAAACUGCUCGGCUAGAGGUAGGUAGGGGAGAUCGGAAUUCCUGGUGUAGCGGUGAAAUGCGCAGAUAUCAGGAGGAACACCGGUGGCGAAGGCGGAUCUCUGGGCCUUACCUGACGCUCAGGCGCGAAAGCUAGGGGAGCGAACUGG
Molecule: ribosomal RNA, 253 nt
Filed under: uncultured bacterium
Lineage: Bacteria
Description: partial 16S ribosomal RNA
Rfam family: Bacterial small subunit ribosomal RNA
Source: RNAcentral